This 447-nucleotide ribosomal RNA is filed under the name uncultured bacterium. Its description in RNAcentral is "partial 16S ribosomal RNA". It matches the Rfam family "Bacterial small subunit ribosomal RNA", at positions 29 to 523 of the family's 1533-position model. The record is from RNAcentral.
AACGAACGCUGGCGGCAGGCCUAACACAUGCAAGUCGAACGCCCCGCAAGGGGAGUGGCAGACGGGUGAGUAACACGUGGGAACCUACCCUUUGGUUCGGAAUAGCCCAGGGAAACUUGGGGUAAUACCGGAUAAGCCCUUCGGGGGAAAGAUUUACCGCCGAAGGAUGGGCCCGCGUUGGAUUAGCUAGUUGGUGGGGUAACGGCCUACCAAGGCGACGAUCCGUAGCUGGUCUGAGAGGAUGAUCAGCCACACUGGGACUGAGACACGGCCCAGACUCCUACGGGAGGCAGCAGUGGGGAAUAUUGGACAAUGGGCGCAAGCCUGAUCCAGCCAUGCCGCGUGAGUGACGAAGGUCUUCGGAUUGUAAAGCUCUUUUGGCGGGGACGAUAAUGACGGUACCCGCAGAAUAAGCCCCGGCUAACUUCGUGCCAGCAGCCGCAGUAA